GAUGAACGCUGGCGGCGUGCCUAAUACAUGCAAGUCGAGCGAACAGAUAAGGAGCUUGCUCCUUUGACGUUAGCGGCGGACGGGUGAGUAACACGUGGGUAACCUACCUAUAAGACUGGAAUAACUCCGGGAAACCGGGGCUAAUGCCGGAUAACAUUUAGAACCGCAUGGUUCUAAAGUGAAAGAUGGUUUUGCUAUCACUUAUAGAUGGACCCGCGCCGUAUUAGCUAGUUGGUAAGGUAACGGCUUACCAAGGCAACGAUACGUAGCCGACCUGAGCGGGGGAUAGGCCACACUGGAACUGAGACACGGUCCAGACUCCUACGGGAGGCAGCAGUAGGGAAUCUUCCGCAAGGGGCGAAAGCCUGACGGAGCAACGCCGCGUGAGUGAUGAAGGUCUUCGGAUCGUAAAACUCUGUUAUUAGGGAAGAACAAAUGUGUAAGUAACUGUGCACGUCUUGACGGUACCUAAUCAGAAAGCCACGGCUAACUACGUG
Molecule: ribosomal RNA, 497 nt
Filed under: uncultured bacterium
Lineage: Bacteria
Description: partial 16S ribosomal RNA
Rfam family: Bacterial small subunit ribosomal RNA
Source: RNAcentral